CGAACGGGAUUGGUAGCAAUACCAUGAGAGUGGCGCACGGGUGAGUAACGCGUAUGCAACCUACCUGUAACAGAGGGAUAGCCCAUAGAAAUGUGGAUUAAUAUCUCAUAGUUCUAUUAGAUCGCAUGAUUUGAUAGAUAAAGCUCCGGCGGUUACAGAUGGGCAUGCGUGACAUUAGCUAGUUGGUAAGGUAACGGCUUACCAAGGCUACGAUGUCUAGGGGUUCUGAGAGGAUGAUCCCCCACACUGGUACUGAGACACGGACCAGACUCCUACGGGAGGCAGCAGUGAGGAAUAUUGGUCAAUGGGCGCAAGCCUGAACCAGCCAUCCCGCGUGCAGGAUGACGGCCCUAUGGGUUGUAAACUGCUUUUAUACACCAAGAAAAAUCCCCACGUGUGGGGACCCGACGGUAGUGUAUGAAUAAGCAUCAGUUUUAAGUCAGUGGUGAAAUCCUGCCGCUUAACGGUAGAAUUGCCAUUGAUACUGAAAAGCUUGAGUACAUUUGAGGUAAGCGGAAUGUGUAGUGUAGCGGUGAAAUGCUUAGAUAUUACACAGAACACCAAUUGCGAAGGCAGCUUACUAAACUGUUACUGACGCUGAUGCACGAAAGCGUGGGGAGCGAACAGGAUUAGAUACCCUGGUAGUCCACGCCGUAAACGAUGCUCACUCGCUGUAUGCGAUACACAGUAUGCGGCCAAGCGAAAGCAUUAAGUGAGCCACCUGGGGAGUACGAUCGCAAGGUUGAAACUCAAAGGAAUUGACGGGGGCCCGCACAAGCGGAGGAACAUGUGGUUUAAUUCGAUGAUACGCGAGGAACCUUACCUGGGCUUAAAUGUAGGGCGACAGCUUGUGAAAGCAGGCUUUCUUCGGACGACCUACAAGGUGCUGCAUGGUUUACCUGGGCUUAAAUGUAGGGCGACAGCUUGUGAAAGCAGGCUUUCUUCGGACGACCUACAAGGUGCUGCAUGGUUGUCGUCAGCUCGUGCCGUGAGGUGUCGGGUUAAGUCCCAUAACGAGCGCAACCCUUAUCGUUAGUUGCCAGCGGGUCAAGCCGGGGACUCUAGCGAGACUGCCACCGUAAGGUGUGAGGAAGGUGGGGAUGACGUCAAAUCAGCACGGCCCUUAUGUCCAGGGCUACACACGUGUUACAAUGGCCGAUACAAAGGGCAGCUACCAGGUGACUGGAUGCUAAUCUCCAAAGUCGGUCUCAGUUCGGAUCGAAGUCUG
This 1228-nucleotide ribosomal RNA is filed under the name uncultured bacterium. Its description in RNAcentral is "partial 16S ribosomal RNA". It matches the Rfam family "Bacterial small subunit ribosomal RNA", at positions 63 to 1307 of the family's 1533-position model. The record is from RNAcentral.